GCAGUGGUAGUUCAGCGGUAGAAUUCUCGCUUUCCAUGUGGGAGACCUGGGUUCAAUUCCCAGCCAAUGCA
RNAcentral lists this transfer RNA (71 nucleotides) under Loxodonta africana (African savanna elephant). It matches the Rfam family "tRNA". From Rfam's summary of the family: Transfer RNA (tRNA) molecules are approximately 80 nucleotides in length. Their secondary structure includes four short double-helical elements and three loops (D, anti-codon, and T loops). Further hydrogen bonds mediate the characteristic L-shaped molecular structure. tRNAs have two regions of fundamental functional importance: the anti-codon, which is responsible for specific mRNA codon recognition, and the 3' end, to which the tRNAs corresponding amino acid is attached (by aminoacyl-tRNA synthetases). tRNAs cope with the degeneracy of the genetic code in two manners: having more than one tRNA (with a specific anti-codon) for a particular amino acid; and 'wobble' base-pairing, i.e. permitting non-standard base-pairing at the 3rd anti-codon position. Lineage: Eukaryota; Metazoa; Chordata; Mammalia; Proboscidea; Elephantidae. The record is from Rfam by way of RNAcentral.